GACGAACGCUGGCGGCGUGCCUAACACAUGCAAGUCGAAUGGAAAGGCCUGCUUUCCCUUGUGGAUUGCGGGUACUCGAGUGGCGAACGGGUGAGUAACACGUGAGUGAUCUGCCCCCAACUUGGGUAUAAGCCUGGGAAACUGGGUCUAAUUCCCGAUAGGACUGCAGGGUGGUGCCUGUGGUGGAAAACGAUUUUCUAGUGGUUGGGGAUGAGCUCGCGGCCUAUCAGCUUGUUGGUGGGGUAAUGGCCUACCAAGGCGGCGACGGGUAGCCGGCCUGAGAGGGUGGACGGCCACAUUGGGACUGAGAUACGGCCCAGACUCCUACGGGAGGCAGCAGUGGGGAAUAUUGCACAAUGGGCGGAAGCCUGAUGCAGCGACGCCGCGUGGGGGAUGACGGCCUUCGGGUUGUAAACUCCUUUCGACCGCGAGGAAGCCACCUGGUUGGAAGGGUGGUGACGGUAGUGGUAGAAGAAGCACCGGCUAACUACGUG
This 494-nucleotide ribosomal RNA is filed under the name uncultured bacterium. RNAcentral describes it as "partial 16S ribosomal RNA". It matches the Rfam family "Bacterial small subunit ribosomal RNA", at positions 28 to 507 of the family's 1533-position model. The record is from RNAcentral.